GAGGGUGUAGCUCAGUGGUAGAGCACAUGCUUAGCAUGCACGAGGUCCUAGGUUCAAUCCCCAGUACCUCCU
RNAcentral lists this transfer RNA (72 nucleotides) under Camelus bactrianus (Bactrian camel). It matches the Rfam family "tRNA". From Rfam's summary of the family: Transfer RNA (tRNA) molecules are approximately 80 nucleotides in length. Their secondary structure includes four short double-helical elements and three loops (D, anti-codon, and T loops). The record is from Rfam by way of RNAcentral. RNAcentral also lists the same sequence under 2 other names. Lineage: Eukaryota; Metazoa; Chordata; Mammalia; Artiodactyla; Camelidae.